GGUGGUUGAGGAUGAGCAUGCGCAUGAUUAGUUAGUUGGCGGGGUAACGGCCCACCAAGACGAUGAUCAUUAGGGGAACUGAGAGGUUGAUCCCCCACACUGGCACUGAGAUACGGGCCAGACUCCUACGGGAGGCAGCAGUAGGGAAUAUUGGACAAUGGGUGCGAGCCUGAUCCAGCCAUGCCGCGUGCAGGAAGACGGCCUUCUGGGUUGUAAACUGCUUUUGCCAGGGGAUAAAACGGCUCUGCGGAGCUAAUUGAAGGUACCUGGUGAAUAAGCCACGGCUAACUACGUGCCAGCAGCCGCGGUAAUACGUAGGUGGCAAGCGUUGUCCGGAUUUAUUGGGUUUAAAGGGUGCGUAGGUUGUUCCAUAAGUCAGUGGUGAAAUACGGCAGCUUAACUGUCGAGGUGCCAUUGAUACUGCGGAACUUGAGUACAGACGAGGUAGGCGGAAUUGACGGUGUAGCGGUGAAAUGCUUAGAUAUCGUCAAGAACACCGAUAGCGAAGGCAGCUUACUAGACUGUAACUGACACUGAGGCACGAAAGUGUGGGGAUCAAACAGGAUUAGAU
RNAcentral lists this ribosomal RNA (571 nucleotides) under uncultured bacterium. RNAcentral's name for it is "bacterial SSU rRNA". It matches the Rfam family "Bacterial small subunit ribosomal RNA", at positions 214 to 783 of the family's 1533-position model. The record is from RNAcentral.